UUCGGGUCCCCCCGCAUUGAUAGUUUGUGAACCUGGUCAGAUCCGGAAGGAAGCAGCCACAGCAAAUGACUCAAGUGCCGGGGUGUGGCUUGUUGGG
Molecule: signal recognition particle RNA, 97 nt
Filed under: Echinimonas agarilytica
Lineage: Bacteria; Pseudomonadati; Pseudomonadota; Gammaproteobacteria; Alteromonadales; Echinimonadaceae
Description: Bacterial small signal recognition particle RNA
Rfam family: Bacterial small signal recognition particle RNA
About the family: The signal recognition particle (SRP) is a universally conserved ribonucleoprotein involved in the co-translational targeting of proteins to membranes. Archaeal SRP consists of a 7S RNA and homologues of the eukaryotic SRP19 and SRP54 proteins. In most bacteria, the SRP consists of a 4.5S RNA and the Ffh protein (a homologue of the eukaryotic SRP54 protein).
Source: Rfam by way of RNAcentral